CCAGACUCCUACGGGAGGCAGCAGUGGGGGAUAUUGCACAAUGGGGGCAACCCUGAUGCAGCGACGCCGCGUGAGCGAAGAAGUACCUCGGUAUGUAAAGCUCUAUCAGCAGGGAAGAAGAUGACGGUACCUGACCAAGAAGCUCCGGCUAAAUACGUGCCAGCAGCCGCGGUAAUACGUAUGGAGCAAGCGUUAUCCGGAUUUACUGGGUGUAAAGGGAGCGCAGGCGGCCUUGCAAGUUUGAUGUGAAAGGCCGGGGCCCAACCCCGGGACUGCAUUGGAAACUGUGCUGCUGGAGUGUCGGAGAGGCAAGUGGAAUUCCUAGUGUAGCGGUGAAAUGCGUAGAUAUUAGGAGGAACACCAGUGGCGAAGGCGGCCUGCUGGACGACAACUGACGGUGAGGCGCGAAAGCGUGGGGAGCAAACAGGAUUAGAUACCCUCGUACU
RNAcentral lists this ribosomal RNA (446 nucleotides) under uncultured bacterium. RNAcentral's name for it is "bacterial SSU rRNA". It matches the Rfam family "Bacterial small subunit ribosomal RNA", at positions 331 to 794 of the family's 1533-position model. The record is from RNAcentral.